GAUGAACGCUGGCGGCGUGCCUAAUACAUGCAAGUCGAGCGAACAGACGAGGAGCUUGCCCCUCUGACGUUAGCGGCGGACGGGUGAGUAACACGUGGAUAACCCACCUAUAAGACUGGGAUAACUUCGGGAAACCGGAGCUAAUACCGGAUAACAUGUUGAACCGCAUGGUUCAACAGUGAAAGACGGUCUUGCUGUCACUUAUAGAUGGAUCCGCGCCGCAUUAGCUAGUUGGUAAGGUAACGGCUUACCAAGGCAACGAUGCGUAGCCGACCUGAGAGGGUGAUCGGCCACACUGGAACUGAGACACGGUCCAGACUCCUACGGGAGGCAGCAGUAGGGAAUCUUCCGCAAUGGGCGAAAGCCUGACGGAGCAACGCCGCGUGAGUGAAGAAGGUCUUCGGAUUGUAAAACUCUGUUAUUAGGGAAGAACAAAUGUGUAAGUAACUAUGCACGUCUUGACGGUACCUAAUCAGAAAGCCGCGGCUAACUACGUGCCAGCAGCCGCGGUAAUACGUAGGUGGCAAGCGUUAUCCGGAAUUAUUGGGCGUAAAGCGCGCGUAGGCGGUUUUUUAAGUCUGAUGUGAAAGCCCACGGCUCAACCGUGGAGGGUCAUUGGAAACUGGAAAACUUGAGUGCAGAAGAGGAAAGUGGAAUUCCAUGUGUAGCGGUGAAAUGCGCAGAGAUAUGGAGGAACACCAGUGGCGAGGGCGACUUUCUGGUCUGUAACUGACGCUGAUGUGCGAAAGCGUGGGGAUCGAACAGGAUUAGAUACCCUGGUAGUCCACGCCGUAAACGAUGAGUGCUAAGUGUUAGGGGGUUUCCGCCCCUUAGUGCUGCAGCUAACGCAUUAAGCACUCCGCCUGGGGAGUACGACCGCAAGGUUGAAACUCAAAGGAAUUGACGGGGACCCGCACAAGCGGUGGAGCAUGUGGUUUAAUUCGAAGCAAUGCGAAGAACCUUACCAAAUCUUGACAUCCUCUGACCCCUCUAGAGAUAGAGUUUUCCCCUUCGGGGGACAGAGUGACAGGUGGUGCAUGGUUGUCGUCAGCUCGUGUCGUGAGAUGUUGGGUUAAGUCCCGCAACGAGCGCAACCCUUAAGCUUAGUUGCCAUCAUUAAGUUGGGCACUCUAAGUUGACUGCCGGUGACAAACCGGAGGAAGGUGGGGAUGACGUCAAAUCAUCAUGCCCCUUAUGAUUUGGGCUACACACGUGCUACAAUGGACAAUACAAAGGGUAGCGAAACCGCGAGGUCAAGCAAAUCCCAUAAAGUUGUUCUCAGUUCGGAUUGUAGUCUGCAACUCGACUACAUAAAGCUGGAAUCGCUAGUAAUCGUAGAUCAGCAUGCUACGGUGAAUACGUUCCCGGGUCUUGUACACACCGCCCGUCACACCACGAGAGUUUGUAACACCCGAAGCCGGUGGAGUAACCUUUUGGAGCUAGCCGUCGAAGGUGGGACAAAUGAUUGGGGUGAAGUCGUAACAAGGUAGCCGUAUCGGAAGG
RNAcentral lists this ribosomal RNA (1503 nucleotides) under uncultured bacterium. RNAcentral's name for it is "bacterial SSU rRNA". It matches the Rfam family "Bacterial small subunit ribosomal RNA". The record is from RNAcentral.